UACGUAGGAGGCAAGCGUUAUCCGGAAUGACUGGGCGUAAAGGGUGCGUAGGUGGUUUGGCAAGUUAGUAGCGUAAUUCCAGAGCUCAACUUUGGAACUACUACUAAAACUGUUGGACUUGAGUGCAGGAGGGGCAAAUGGAAUUCCUAGUGUAGCGGUGGAAUGCGUAGAUAUUAGGAGGAACACCAGUGGCGAAGGCGAUUUGCUGGACUGUAACUGACACUGAGGCACGAAAGCGUGGGGAGCAAACAGG
RNAcentral lists this ribosomal RNA (253 nucleotides) under uncultured bacterium. Its description in RNAcentral is "partial 16S ribosomal RNA". It matches the Rfam family "Bacterial small subunit ribosomal RNA", at positions 524 to 776 of the family's 1533-position model. The record is from RNAcentral.